RNAcentral lists this RNase P RNA (350 nucleotides) under Gammaproteobacteria bacterium. RNAcentral's name for it is "RNase P RNA component class A". It matches the Rfam family "Bacterial RNase P class A". From Rfam's summary of the family: Ribonuclease P (RNase P) is a ubiquitous endoribonuclease, found in archaea, bacteria and eukarya as well as chloroplasts and mitochondria. Its best characterised activity is the generation of mature 5'-ends of tRNAs by cleaving the 5'-leader elements of precursor-tRNAs. The record is from RNAcentral. Lineage: Bacteria; Pseudomonadati; Pseudomonadota; Gammaproteobacteria.
CGAGUCAGCCAAACGGUCGCUGAUCUCUUUUAGAGAUUGGAGGAAAGUCCGGGCUUCAUAGGGCAAAGUGCCAGAUAACGUCUGGGGGGCGCGAGCCUACGGAAAGUGCAACAGAAAAAAUACCGCCACUCUGCGAAAGCAGAAGGUAAGGGUGAAAUGGUGCGGUAAGAGCGCACCGCGCUCUUGGUAACAACGAGCGGCAAGGUAAACCCCACUUGAAGCAAGACCGAAUAGGAAUUCAAUGGCGCUGCCCGCGCUGAAUUCGGGUUGGUCGCUUGAGCGUUGUGGUGACACAACGCCCAGAUAAAUGACCGUUCUAGACAGAACCCGGCUUACGGCUGACUCAUCCU